Molecule: non-coding RNA, 93 nt
Filed under: unclassified sequences
Description: PhotoRC-II RNA
Rfam family: PhotoRC-II RNA
Source: RNAcentral
CAACACUUAACUGCUCUCAAACCAAGACCUAUAGGCAGUAUAAUACUUCGUCUUUUAUCCAGUAGUGAGGGAUUACUGGAAAUAAGUUUCGCA